AUGGCGGCCCGCCCAAACCGCAGUCCGCGCCUCGACCACCUCUCCCGCGUCCUCGCCUCCGACCACCCGCCCCCGCCGGCGGCCGCCGUGCACGCGCGCCUCAUCCGCGCGCACGGCGACACCCCUCCCCCCGUCAUCCGCUCGCUCCUCAACCAUGCCAUCCGCCGCCUGUCCAAGCCGCGCCCCCACGCCGCGCUGCGCCUGCUCCUCCUCAUGCCGCGCCUGCCCGUCUCCCCCGACCACUUCACCGUCCCCUUCGCGCUCAACGCCGCCGCGUCCCUCGGCCUCCUCCGGCUCGGCGCGUCCCUGCACUCCGUCGCGCUCCGCCUCGCGCUCGCCCCCACCUGCCUCCCCGUCGCCAACGCCCUCGUCGCCCUCUACGCCAAGUGCGACGACCUCCCCGCCGCGCACGCCGCGCUCGCCGACAUCCCGGUGCCCGACGCCGUCUCGUUCAACUCUCUCCUCUGCACGCACGCCCGCCUCGCCUCCGUGCCCGCCGCCGAGUCGCUCUUCACCUCCAUGCCCUCCAGAACCCAGGUCUCCUGGAACGCCAUGGUGGUCGUCUACGUCAAUGCCGGUGACUUCGCCUCUGCUCACCGGGUGUUUGAUGAAAUGCCUACGAGGGAUUCCUCUUCCUGGUCUGUGUUGAUUAUUGGAUACUGCAAAAGCGGGUCAAUGCAGAGCGCCCGGGAGCUGUUCGAUAAAAUGCCAGGGAAGAAUCUUGUGACAUGGACAGCAAUGAUAAAUGGGUAUGCUCAAUGUGGGCGGCCUAAGGAGGCACUAGCAUUGUUUAGGGAACUGGAGGCUGCUGGGAUUGAGCCAGAUGCAGCCACCAUGGUCGGAGUUAUCUCCUCUGCUUCCCAGAUAGGUAGCACAGCAUUAGCUGGGUGGGUUGGAACCUACGUUGACAGGAAGAGGAUUGAAAGGAAUGAGAAGGUGCUUACAGCACUGGUAGAUAUGCAUGCCAAGUGCGGGAAUGUCGAGCAGGCUCUCAAUGCUUUUAGGGAGAUUGAACAGCCGGAUGCAUACCCUUACACUGCACUUAUUAGUGGGCUGGCGACUCAUGGGCACGCAAAGCUGGCACUUCAAGUGUUUGAACGGAUGCAAGCUCAGGCAGUUAAACCUGAUCCGAUCACUUUCGUCGGUGUGCUUACUGCGUGCAGCCAUGCAGGGCUUGUUGAUAGAGGGUUGGACUAUUGGGAAGCAAUGGUGCAUGAGUAUGGGAUGAACCGUCGGGCAGAUCACUAUGCCUGUGUUGUCGACAUGCUUGGUCGUGCAGGGAGGCUUGAGGAGGCUUUUGAGAUGGUCCAAACAAUGCCGAUGGGCCCCCAUCCAGGUGCUCUUGGCGCCCUGCUGAGUGCGUGCAAGACACACGACAAUGCUGAGAUUGCUGAAGUUGUUGCAAAUAAGCUUUUUGAGUUGGAACCUCGAAAUACUGGGAACUAUAUACUGCUGUCGAGUAUAUAUGCUGGGAGAGGACAAUGGGAGGAGGCAGAAAGAGUUCGGUCGCUGAUGAAAACAAAAUUACCUUUCAAACAGCCAGGGUCUAGUUGGUUUUAG
Molecule: ribosomal RNA, 1560 nt
Filed under: Triticum aestivum (bread wheat)
Lineage: Eukaryota; Viridiplantae; Streptophyta; Magnoliopsida; Poales; Poaceae
Description: partial small subunit ribosomal RNA
Source: RNAcentral